RNAcentral lists this small RNA (1383 nucleotides) under Pongo abelii (Sumatran orangutan). RNAcentral's name for it is "retained intron". Lineage: Eukaryota; Metazoa; Chordata; Mammalia; Primates; Hominidae. The record is from RNAcentral.
AGGUCCGCGAUGGAGCCAUCUGCACUGGGACCUUGGUCCUUGUUCCCUGACCUUGCGCCGAGGGACCAGGAAGGUCAGGUGCUCGCCCCGCGUCGGUGAGUCAGGAGGGUAUGUGGCCAGAACGAGAAAGUGGUGAUCAUGUGUGCGAGCAGUGACACCAUCCGGAGCAUCCUGCUGGCGGCGCACAGGCAUGGCAUGACCAGUGGAGACUACGCCUUCUUCAACAUUGAGCUCUUCAACAGCUCUUCCUAUGGAGAUGGCUCGUGGAAGAGAGGAGACAAACACGACUUUGAAGCUAAGCAAGCAUACUCGUCCCUCCAGACAGUCACUCUACUGAGGACAGUGAAACCUGAGUUUGAGAAGUUUUCCAUGGAGGUGAAAAGUUCAGUUGAGAAACAAGGGCUCAAUAUGGAGGAUUAUGUUAACAUGUUUGUUGAAGGAUUCCACGAUGCCAUCCUCCUCUACGUCUUGGCUCUACAUGAAGUACUCAGAGCUGGUUACAGCAAAAAGGAUGGAGGGAAAAUUAUACAGCAGACUUGGAACAGAACAUUUGAAGGUAUCGCCGGGCAGGUGUCCAUAGAUGCCAACGGAGACCGAUACGGGGAUUUCUCUGUGAUUGCCAUGACUGAUGUGGAGGCGGGCACCCAGGAGGUUAUUGGUGAUUAUUUUGGAAAAGAAGGUCGUUUUGAAAUGCGGCCGAAUGUCAAAUAUCCUUGGGGCCCUUUAAAACUGAGAAUAGAUGAAAACCGAAUUGUAGAGCAUACAAACAGCUCUCCCUGCAAAUCAUGUAAGUCUAGAGACUUAAUUUGCUAUGUAUGUCAUCACCUCUAACCUCAGUGUAAUGUAAGUUUAAAACCCAAGUGUUUCUAUGGGCUUACAUUUUGGAAGUUUACAUUUCUUUCUCUGAUGUGGUAAAACACAUGGGAACAGUUCACAAACUGGCAUCUUGCCUUUAUCAGAUGCUUUCAGGUCUUCCUUCCCUUCCAGCCUUCUCUUCCACAAUGGUAGAAUGUUUCUUCCUAUUUUUACAUCUCUUACUAUAAUCUCUUGGCUAGGUCAUGUUUCCACUUUUAGAGAAAAUCAAAAUAUCAAUUAGUAAAUAUCACUCGCUUAGUCAUCUGUCAUAGCAAGUCUCGUUCUGAUUUUUCAAGUUUGUGGUUACUUUCCAGCUCCUCAGAACCAAAGAGAUAACAUCCCUUAAACAUCUGAACAUCUACACAUUGUCAAAUAAGUGUAAGAUGUAUUACUUAUGAGCAGCUUUGUAUAUAAGUAGAGAAGCAAUUGGAUGUUCUCAUAAUUAGCUUUCAAAUAGGAAAGUUGUUAGAAAUAAUUGUUUUAGAGAAUAAGGUAGUGAGGGAGAACAAAGUGAAUAUAGGUCUUUCA